Molecule: ribosomal RNA, 254 nt
Filed under: uncultured bacterium
Lineage: Bacteria
Description: partial 16S ribosomal RNA
Rfam family: Bacterial small subunit ribosomal RNA
Source: RNAcentral
UACGUAGGGUGCGAGCGUUGUCCGGAAUUAUUGGGCGUAAAGAGCUCGUAGGCGGCUUGUCGCGUCGUCCGUGAAAACCAGGGGCUCAACCCCUGGCUUGCGGUCGAUACGGGCAGGCUAGAGUUCGGUAGGGGAGACUGGAAUUCCUGGUGUAGGCGGUGAAAUGCGCAGAUAUCAGGAGGAAACACCAGUGGCGAAGGCGGCUCACUGGCCCGAUACUGACGCUGAGGCACGAAAGCGUGGGAGCAAACAGG